Molecule: ribosomal RNA, 492 nt
Filed under: uncultured bacterium
Lineage: Bacteria
Description: partial 16S ribosomal RNA
Rfam family: Bacterial small subunit ribosomal RNA
Source: RNAcentral
AGUGAACGCUGGCGGUAGGCCUAACACAUGCAAGUCGAACGGCAGCACAGUAAGAGCUUGCUCUUACGGGUGGCGAGUGGCAGACGGGUGAGGAAUACAUCGGAAUCUACUUUUUCGUGGGGGAUAACGUAGGGAAACUUACGCUAAUACCGCAUACGACCUACGGGUGAAAGCAGGGGAUCUUCGGACCUUGCGCGAUUGAAUGAGCCGAUGUCGGAUUAGCUAGUUGGCGGGGUAAAGGCCCACCAAGGCGACGAUCCGUAGCUGGUCUGAGAGGAUGAGCAGCCACACUGGAACUGAGACACGGUCCAGACUCCUACGGGAGGCAGCAGUGGGGAAUAUUGGACAAUGGGCGCAAGCCUGAUCCAGCCAUACCGCGUGGGUGAAGAAGGCCUUCGGGUUGUAAAGCCCUUUUGUUGGGAAAGAAAAGCAGCAGGUUAAUACCCCGCUGUUCUGACGGUACCCAAAGAAUAAGCACCGGCUAACUUCGUG